CAUGUAUGUGGUUGCUUUCCUUCUUUACAGGGAUGGAGCUCUUGGUAUCAUAUUGGGGCACCUCGUCAUGUGAUCACCGGGGCCUAGGAGCCAUCUCUCAGUUAUGUGACCACCAAUCGUGAAGUCAUCUCUCUAUUACAUGACUGCCUGGGCCUAGACGCUAUCUCUCACAUGUGUGACCACCCGAUUCGAGAAGCCAUCUCUCUCAUCAUCAGCAGUGCCAUUUCUAUUACAUAGCCAAGCCAUCUCUCUCAUCAUCAGCAGUGCCAUUUCUAUUACAUGGCCAAGCCAUCUCUCUCAUCAUCAGCAGUGCCAUUUCUAUUACAUGGCCAAGCCAUCUCUCUCAUCAUCAGCAGUGCCAUUUCUAUUACAUGGCCAAGCCAUCUCUCUUUUGCUUUAAAAAAUCGUAUUCAUAUUUGCGACAGCUUUUACAGGAAGCCGAGUGUAACUCCAAAUUAUAAGAUUACAGAAGGGCCCAUUUGGAUAUCUAGAAAUAAUUCUCUGGGAGACGUAUCUUCACGAAGAAUUCUGAACUUCUGAGUUUGAAUUGCAGAAAAUGCAUCAGAUGCAGUGUCAAAGCCCUGAUCUUUCUCACCAUCUUCUUCUGCAGCUGCUCUACCUCUCCCUCUAAUGCAAGGAUCAACGCAGGAGCAUCUUUCUUCCACCGCUGCUCUUCUCUCUCUCUCACUCUCUGUUGCGAGGUACCAUUAACACUGUCUCUGCCCUGCACGCUCUCUCUUCUUUCUAAGUCGUUCUCUCUCUUAUUUUGGUUUGCAUUCUCCCUUCAAUUUGGUGACAUUGCAUAUGAAUGCUAACCAAAACCAACAUAUGAGUAGAAUUCAUUAGCAACAGGAUCUAAACUUCUCUCCCUCGUUUCAAUCUCUAGGAAAUGGCCUCCAUGUUUUGGGACUCCAUUAAAUUGAUUUCUUUUGAAUUUUAAUGUGGAUUCAAAGGUGCUUUUGGCUUAAGAAUAUCUUUAUGAUUAUUUGUUCUUCCUCAAUUCUUGUUCCAUUGUCUGUAAAAUUACCUGCGCAACAUAAGUUCUGAGUUUUAAUGGUGAAUCUUGUUUUCUUUUCUUC
Molecule: non-coding RNA, 1079 nt
Organism: Amborella trichopoda
Lineage: Eukaryota; Viridiplantae; Streptophyta; Magnoliopsida; Amborellales; Amborellaceae
Source: RefSeq, a predicted model, not a curated record